CGGCGGACGGGUGAGUAACACGUGGAUAACCUACCUAUAAGACUGGGAUAACUUCGGGAAACCGGAGCUAAUACCGGAUAAUAUUUUGAACCGCAUGGUUCAAAAGUGAAAGACGGUCUUGCUGUCACUUAUAGAUGGAUCCGCGCCGCAUUAGCUAGUUGGUAAGGUAACGGCUUACCAAGGCAACGAUGCAUAGCCGACCUGAGAGGGUGAUCGGCCACACUGGAACUGAGACACGGUCCAG
RNAcentral lists this ribosomal RNA (244 nucleotides) under uncultured Staphylococcus sp. RNAcentral describes it as "partial 16S ribosomal RNA". It matches the Rfam family "Bacterial small subunit ribosomal RNA", at positions 96 to 334 of the family's 1533-position model. Lineage: Bacteria; Bacillati; Bacillota; Bacilli; Caryophanales; Staphylococcaceae. The record is from RNAcentral.